AAAGACAAAGCUAAUAUGCAGCACAGGUACAUGGAGAUCUUUUUAAAUGCUGUAGGAACAAGUAGGGGGGUUUAUGAACACACCUAUGUAGAACUUUUCUUGAAUCUACAGCAGGGGCAAGUGGUGGUGCUUAUGGUAGGCAAAUGAUGGGAGAGAUGGGCUUACCCAACCAGUCUAGUUAUGCAGCUGAGUGGUGGUUGUGGAGGUGGUUAUGGUGGUCUGAGCAGUGUGAGUGGUGGUUAUGGAGGUGGUUAGGGUGAUCAGAGCAGUGUGAGUGGUGGUUAUGGAGGUGGUUAUGGAGGUCAGAGCAGCUGAGUGGUGGUUAUGGAGGUGGUUAGGGUGAUCAGAGCAGUGUGAGUGGUGGUUAUGGAGGUGGUUAUGGUGAUCAGAGCAGUGUGAGUGGUGGUUAUGGAGGUGGUUAGGGUGAUCAGAGCAAUGUGAGUGGUGGUUAUGGAGGUGGUUAUGGUGAUCAAGCAAUGUGAGUGUUGGUUAUGGAGGUGGUUAGGGUGAUCAGAGCAAUGUGAGUGGUGGUUAUGGAGGUGGUUAUGGUGAUCAGAGCAAUGUGAGUGGUGGUUAUGGAGGUGGUUAGGGUGAUCAGAGCAAUGUGAGUGGUGGUUAUGGAGGUGGUUAUGGUGAUCAGAGCAAUGUGAGUGGUGGUUAUGGAGGUGGUUAUGGAGGUCAGAGCAGUGUGACUGUUGGUUAUGGAGGUGGUUAUGGUGGUUAGACCAGCUGAGUGUUGGUUAUGGAGGUGGUUAUGGUGAUCAGAGCAGUGUGAGUGGUGGUUGUGGAGGUGGUUAUGGUGAUCAGAGCAAUGUGAGUGGUGGUUAUGGAGGUGGUUACGGUGAUCAGAGCAAUGUGAGUGGUGGUUGUGGAGGCGGUUAUGGAGGUCAGAGCAGCUGAGUGGUGGUUAUAGAGGUCAGAGCAGUAUGAGUGGUGGUUAUGGUGGUCAGAGCAGUGUGACUGGUGGUUAUGGAGGUGGUUAGGGUGAUCAGAGCAGUAUGAGGGGAUAUGACCACGUUCUGGAGGAAAACUCCAGUGACUGUCAGUCAAACCUUGGUUAGGUAGAGAAGGAGCACUAAAGAGCUACUCCAGAUAUAAAAGCAGUGCAUUUAUGGGAGUUGAAUAGAAUGGGAGGGAUGUCUAGUAUAUCCAGUAUAAUGGGUAAAUGGGAAAUAUAAUUUAUUCUGAUCACUCUUGGUCAGCUUCUCUGUCGUCUUUCUUUCUCCUCUUUUUUUGAGACAGAGUCUAACUCUGUCGCCAGGUUGGAGUGCAGUGCCACGAUCUUGGCUCACUGCAACUUUGCCUCCCAGGUUCAAGUGAUUUCUCCUGCCUCAGCCUCCCAGUAGCUGGGACUAUAGGCAUGUGCC
This 1367-nucleotide long non-coding RNA is filed under the name Pan troglodytes (chimpanzee). RNAcentral's name for it is "long non-coding RNA NONPTRT015382". The record is from RNAcentral. Lineage: Eukaryota; Metazoa; Chordata; Mammalia; Primates; Hominidae.